AGCAGCAAGCGUUUGCGACUCGACUAUGGCGAGGUUGAGGACGGGCCUUGUAAUGCCGAGACGGUCAAGGGCUGGGACAAGCUCCUGACGCAGCCACCGGGAGGCGUCAUCAGCCCGGACAUCAUUCAGUCUGAGCAGAGUUAUCGCGAGGCCAGCCGAUUUACUCAAUGAGGACGGUCUCCCUGGAGUAGCGGAGCUGCUACUGUUCAUCCUGGGGCCUCCGCUGUCAACUCUGGCAAUUCCUAUUGAGCUUAGCUGCUGGCGGCAAAGUGUCUGCUCCUGCCAUGGCCUUCGACAUGCCCACAAACUUGUACAGCCGACAGCCUCCAUUGGCUCGGUCGGCGGAAGCGGCUUUCACCGCCAGCUACGUGACCUUGGUAGCAGCCUUGCCAGUGUCGGGGAGUGCGAUGGAACUAUGCGCACGCAGCAGUUUCUGCAGCUGUGCGUAGGACGAUGCGGAGCUGAAAUGGUUCCCCCUCUCAAUUCGAGUGACAGUGCUUGCCUUUAUUAUUUUUUAUUGCGAUAGCAAUUAUAUGAACACUCUGGGAUCAAUUUUGCCACCGG
Long non-coding RNA from Rhipicephalus microplus (southern cattle tick), 564 nucleotides. NCBI's taxonomy places the organism in Eukaryota, Metazoa, Arthropoda, Arachnida, Ixodida, Ixodidae. The record is from RefSeq and is a predicted model, not a curated record.